This 354-nucleotide unclassified non-coding RNA is filed under the name soil metagenome. RNAcentral describes it as "partial contains 5.8S ribosomal RNA, internal transcribed spacer 2, and large subunit ribosomal RNA". The stretch from base 1 to 120 matches the Rfam family "5.8S ribosomal RNA", at positions 35 to 154 of the family's 154-position model. The record is from RNAcentral.
GAUGAAGAACGUAGCGAAAUGCGAUAAGUAAUGUGAAUUGCAGAAUUCCGUGAAUCAUCGAAUCUUUGAACGCACAUUGCGCCCCCUGGCAUUCCGGGGGGCAUGCCUGUCCGAGCGUCAUUUCUGCCCUCCAGCCCGGCUGGGUGUUGGGCGCUGUCCCCCCGGGGACACGCCCCAAAGGCAGUGGCGGCGCCGCGUCGGGUCCUCGAGCGUAUGGGGCUUUGUCACCCGCUCGGGACGGACUCGUCGGCGCUGGUCUUCCUCCAGGCGACCCUUCGGGGCUCGUCUUCCUUCGGUUGACCUCGGAUCAGGUAGGGUUACCCGCUGAACUUAAGCAUAUCAAUAAGCUGAGGA